GACGAACGCUGGCGGCGUGCUUAACACAUGCAAGUCGAGCGGAAAGGCCACUUCGGUGGUACUCGAGCGGCGAACGGGUGAGUAACACGUGAGUAAUCUGCCCCUCACUUUGGGAUAGCCACCGGAAACGGUGAUUAAUACCGGAUAUGACCAUAUGUCGCAUGGCGUGUGGUGGAAAGUUUUUCGGUGAGGGAUGUGCUCGCGGCCUAUCAGCUUGAUGGUGAGGGAAUGGCUCACCAUGGCUUCGACGGGUAGCCGGCCUGAGAGGGUGACCGGUCACACUGGGACUGCGGCACGGCCCAGACUCCUACGGGCGGCAGCAGUGGGGAAUAUUGGACAAUGGGCGGAAGCCUGAUCCAGCAACGCCGCGUGAGGGAUGACGGCCUUCGGGUUGUAAACCUCUUUCAGUACCGACGAAGCGCAAGUGACGGUAGGUACAGAAGAAGCACCGGCCAACUACGUG
Molecule: ribosomal RNA, 463 nt
Filed under: uncultured bacterium
Lineage: Bacteria
Description: partial 16S ribosomal RNA
Rfam family: Bacterial small subunit ribosomal RNA
Source: RNAcentral